Musa acuminata AAA Group (dessert banana) is the source of this 1570-nucleotide RNA transcript. RefSeq lists it as uncharacterized. NCBI's taxonomy places the organism in Eukaryota, Viridiplantae, Streptophyta, Magnoliopsida, Zingiberales, Musaceae. The record is from RefSeq and is a predicted model, not a curated record. The transcript has 8 exons.
CUAUGGACCCCGCCGAGUCAUCGUCACGAAGAGCGGAACGAGGUAGCGCCAGGGCCGAUUAAUCGCGCGCGGGGAAUCUCCCCGCUCGCGCACGUGCGCCGGAACCGACGCCAGCCAGUGCCGCCUGCCGUCCGACGUCUCUCCAGCCUCGUCCCUUUCCUCCGUGUAUCAACCACCGGAAGGGAGUCGAUUUAUUCCAGUGUGUGCAAGGAGGAGGGCUUUUGUUGAGGGCUUCGGUGGUUCCUGACGGAGGAGGAGAAGCUCUGGGUGCAAGGAGAGAAGAAAGUAUAGGCAUCGUUCGAAUCAGAUCGCGUGACGGAGACGGAUUUCUUGGGAAUUCACGAGAGGGAUUUGGACCCGCAGACGUCGGAGGAGGACACCGGUGGGAGCCGCCAAGAUUCAGGGAUUAGGUUGCUAAAAUUAUUGGACUAUCUGAGAUAAAAGGUUGGUCUUAUAUUUUCUUGAAGCAAAUCUUGUGAGCUGUGGAUCUGGCAACUGUUACGAAGACCGAGUACGGAAAAUACGACGCUUUUAUGGUGGUGUGGCAUUUUAUUCCUUUUUUCUAAAGAUUGAAACGCUAUGUAAGGAGCUUCAACAGUGCAAUGGCCUUUCUUGAACAAGAUGUCUACCAUGCAGCCAUUCAUGUUCUACAAGGAUGCACAAGAGGAGAAGUCAAGAAACUAUGUCUCUGAUGAACACUCAUCUUCGAGAUUCCAACCUGUAUCAGCCAUUGAUGCCUUUGAGGCCAAUCAGAAAUGCUUCAGUUUCAACAUAUGGCGAAGGAUGAACCAAUAUCCAUUCCAUGCAUAUCAGCCUCAGAACACUGGUUUUGUUGAUUCUUCACAGCACAAGUUAAAUCACUCUAGUCCUGUCAACAUGAGCAGUCCUUCGUUCAAGACUGUGGGUGCUCUAAAUGGCCCUAAUAUAGCAGUCACCUCUGCCAAGCAGCAGCCUUUUGGAUGUGGCACCACCAUUAACACCCCCUGUUGGUGGCCCUGUGCUUGGAGCUUUUAAUCCAAGGGAAAAAUUAUCGGUGAUUACAAAUAUGACUGCUCAGCUAACUAUUUUCUGUGGGAACUGCAUAAAUGUGUAUGAUGACAUUCCAUUGGAUAUGAAUAAUGAGGAUUUUAAUCCUGUACAUCAAGCUCAUAAGGCAUCACUAUCACGAUUCCUGGAAAAGCGCAAGGAGAGGAUGACCAAUACGAUUCCAUAUGCUUGUUCCAAGAAAAUUCCUGAAAACAGUAGUAGAUUCUGAAGUUGCUAUGUGUCAAGCAAAAUUUCAUUGGCUGAUAUCAAUCUUUCGAGGAGAGGACUUAUGGUUUGUGGCACACCAAAAGAGCAGCAUGGACAGUGGGGAGUCCCUAAGUAUUAAGCUAGCAUAAUGAGUUUGCAUUUGAAUCAGGCCUGUAAUGUAUGAUUAAAUUAUUUGUUCAUUUCAGUGAUAAAAUUUCAGAUGACAGAUAUCAUAAUGUACUCUGUGGUAGAGAGUCUUAUAGGGAUCUCUGAUUACUUGUCCCAAUAUGAUUCAAGUGCUAUAUCAUAGAGAAAAAGAUGGUUAUAUCAGGAAUUA